GACGAACGCUGGCGGCGUGCCUAAUACAUGCAAGUAGAACGCUGAAGAGAGGAGCUUGCUCUUCUUGGAUGAGUUGCGAACGGGUGAGUAACGCGUAGGUAACCUGCCUGGUAGCGGGGGAUAACUAUUGGAAACGAUAGCUAAUACCGCAUAAAAUUGAUUAUUGCAUGAUAAUUAAUUGAAAGAUGCAACUGCAUCACUACCAGAUGGACCUGCGUUGUAUUAGCUAGUUGGUGGGGUAACGGCUCACCAAGGCGACGAUACAUAGCCGACCUGAGAGGGUGAUCGGCCACACUGGGACUGAGACACGGCCCAGACUCCUACGGGAGGCAGCAGUAGGGAAUCUUCGGCAAUGGGGGGAACCCUGACCGAGCAACGCCGCGUGAGUGAAGAAGGUUUUCGGAUCGUAAAGCUCUGUUGUAAGAGAAGAACGGGUGUGAGAGUGGAAAGUUCACACUGUGACG
Molecule: ribosomal RNA, 464 nt
Filed under: Streptococcus sanguinis
Lineage: Bacteria; Bacillati; Bacillota; Bacilli; Lactobacillales; Streptococcaceae
Description: bacterial SSU rRNA
Rfam family: Bacterial small subunit ribosomal RNA
Source: RNAcentral